Molecule: ribosomal RNA, 481 nt
Filed under: uncultured bacterium
Lineage: Bacteria
Description: partial 16S ribosomal RNA
Rfam family: Bacterial small subunit ribosomal RNA
Source: RNAcentral
GACGAACGCUGGCGGCGUGCCUAAUACAUGCAAGUCGAACGCAUUUUCUUUCAACGUAGCUUGCUACACCGAAAGAAAGUGAGUGGCGAACGGGUGAGUAACACGUGGGUAACCUGCCCAUCAGCGGGGGAUAACACUUGGAAACAGGUGCUAAUACCGCAUAAUUCCAUUUACCGCAUGGUAGAUGGAUGAAAGGCGCUUUUGCGUCACUGAUGGAUGGACCCGCGGUGCAUUAGCUAGUUGGUGGGGUAACGGCCUACCAAGGCUGCGAUGCAUAGCCGGGCGGAGAGGAGGAGCAGCAACACGGGGAGGGGGACACGGCCGAGACUGAUACGGGAGGCAGCAGAGGGGAAUAUUGGACAAUGGGAGAAAGACUGAGACAGCAAGGAAGAGGGAGUGAUGAAGGCGUGAGGGAUGAAAAGCUCUUUUACCAGUGAGGAUAAUGACAGUACCGAGAGAAUAAGCGACGGCUAACUCCGUG